UCCUACGGGAGGCAGCAGUCGGGAAUUUUGGGCAAUGGGCGAAAGCCUGACCCAGCAACGCCGCGUGAAGGAUGAAAUCCCUCGGGAUGUAAACUUCGCAAGAAUGGGAAGAAUGAACGAGCGCUAAUACCGUUCGUGAUGACGGUACCAUUUGUAAGCUCCGGCUAACUCCGUGCCAGCAGCCGCGGUAAUACGGGGGGAGCAAGCGUUGUUCGGAUUUACUGGGCGUAAAGGGCGCGUAGGCGGCCAGCGCAAGUCAGUUGUGAAAUCUCCGGGCUUAACUCGGAAAGGUCAAUUGAUACUGCAGCGGCUAGAGUGCAGAAGGGGCAACUGGAAUUCUCGGUGUAGCGGUGAAAUGCGUAGAUAUCGAGAGGAACAUCUGCGGCGAAGGCGGGUUGCUGGGCUGACACUGACGCUGAGUGCGCGAAAGCCAGGGGAGCGAACGGGAUUAGAUACCCCGGUAGUCCUGGCCUUAAACGAUGGAUGCUUGGUGUCUGGAGUUUUUUAAUAGC
RNAcentral lists this ribosomal RNA (512 nucleotides) under uncultured Bacillota bacterium. RNAcentral's name for it is "bacterial SSU rRNA". It matches the Rfam family "Bacterial small subunit ribosomal RNA", at positions 337 to 837 of the family's 1533-position model. Lineage: Bacteria; Bacillati; Bacillota. The record is from RNAcentral.